CAAUGACUUAUAUACCUAAAAAAAUGCAACACUAUGCGCAUGCAGCCAUGAAUCUGAUCAACAUGGACUCGGAGAACCGGGUGGUGCUCAAUGUGGGUGGCAUUAGACACGAGACCUACAAGGCCACGCUGAAAAAGAUUCCGGCAACGCGAUUGUCGCGAUUGACAGAGGCCCUGGCCAAUUACGAUCCGAUACUGAAUGAGUACUUCUUUGAUCGGCAUCCGGGCGUCUUCGCACAAGUGCUCAACUAUUACAGAACUGGCAAGCUGCAUUAUCCCACGGACGUGUGCGGACCGCUGUUUGAGGAGGAAUUGGAGUUCUGGGGCCUAGACUCGAACCAAGUGGAGCCCUGCUGUUGGAUGACCUACACGCAGCAUCGCGACACCCAGGAAACCCUAGCCGUACUCGAUCGUCUCGAUCUGGAUACGGAAAAACCGUCCGAGGAGGAACUGGCGCGCAAAUUCGGCUUCGAGGAGGACUACUACAAAGGCACCAUAUCCUGGUGGCAGGAAAUGAAGCCGCGCAUUUGGUCCUUGUUCGAUGAGCCCUACAGUUCCAAUGCAGCCAAGACUAUUGGCGUGGUUUCGGUGUUCUUCAUCUGCAUUUCGAUCCUGUCGUUCUGCCUGAAGACCCAUCCCGACAUGCGGGUGCCCAUCGUCCGGAAUAUUACAGUGAAAACUGCGAAUGGAAGUAAUGGCUGGUUCUUGGACAAGACGCAGACCAAUGCGCACAUAGCCUUCUUCUAUAUCGAAUGCGUGUGCAAUGCCUGGUUUACCUUUGAAAUAUUGGUGCGCUUUAUCUCAUCGCCGAACAAGUGGGAGUUCAUCAAGUCAUCUGUUAACAUCAUAGACUACAUAGCGACGCUUAGUUUUUAUAUCGAUCUAGUGCUUCAGCGGUUCGCAUCGCAUCUGGAGAACGCUGACAUCCUCGAGUUCUUCUCGAUCAUCCGCAUCAUGCGUCUGUUCAAGCUGACGCGCCACUCGUCCGGACUGAAGAUCCUGAUCCAGACGUUCCGGGCCUCGGCCAAGGAGCUGACCCUGCUGGUGUUCUUCCUCGUCCUGGGCAUCGUGAUCUUCGCCAGCCUCGUCUACUACGCGGAGCGCAUCCAGCCGAACCCCCACAACGACUUCAAUAGCAUACCCCUGGGCCUGUGGUGGGCCCUGGUCACCAUGACCACCGUCGGCUACGGUGACAUGGCCCCCAAAACCUACAUCGGCAUGUUCGUGGGCGCCCUGUGCGCCCUAGCCGGCGUACUAACCAUCGCACUGCCAGUGCCCGUCAUCGUCAGCAACUUCGCCAUGUACUACUCGCACACGCAGGCCAGGGCCAAACUGCCAAAGAAGCGGAGACGAGUGCUUCCCGUCGAGCAGCCGCGGCAGCCCAGACUGCCAGGUGCACCUGGUGGUGUCAGUGGCUGCGGCACCCCGGGCUCGGGUCCCCACUCCGGUCCCAUGGGAUCCGGCGGAACUGGACCACGUCGCAUGAACAAUAAAACCAAGGACCUGGUCAGCCCCAAGUCAGAUGAAUAUACAACAAUGAUUGGCAAACCGCGCGAUGGCAAAAAGAGCAGGCUGCUCUAAGCCAACAAACACAACAGCACCAACAUGAACCACGAUACGACAACAACCACAACAGAACCAGCUGAAGAACCAAUAUUCCCCCAUACCAUUACUUCCAAGCUAGAACUCGCAAUGAGAGAUGAUGAUGAUACCUUCCUAUAUAAGAAUUUGGCAAACUGAUCUAUGAGUAAGCGAAGGAAAAGUUGAGAGAAACCGAAAACGCAACCCAAGGACUGGAUAAAGAUCAUAUAGCGGAUAUAGACCAAAUCGGAUCGUGGUAUGUGGAUCGAUGGCACACUUUCUGGAUGCCAAAUAGCCAUAGAUACAUAUAUGAAUACUCGUAUGGUUACUUUGAAUAUGGACGACGUCUGCUACUGAUAUCUACUGUACUACUACCACUCCAACCUGCUAUAUAAUCGUAUAUAUAACUACAAUAUGUAAUUUUCUACGUGUUUUCCUCUCUCUCUAUUUCUCCACCUUUCUUUACAUAAAUUAUAUUAUAUUCUAUAUAUAUCGUGUACGUGUUGUUCUUCAGUUCUGGCUCGUUCGUUUCUUCGUUAGCAGUGUACAAGAUACUAUAUACUAUGUUCAGAUCUGUAAACGUAUCUUCUCUCAUUCUCUAUGUGUGCGUGUGUAACUUUGUGACCUUUUGUUCUAGUGUCUAAUCGCCCCGAAUCAGAGAACCCUUAGCUAUGUAAUUGAUCGCAAAACUUGGAAUCUACUUUGUAUUAUCUCGAACUCUUGUAUUUCAGAUAUGGCCUUCAGUUUCGACUAAAACAGAAUACAGAACAGAACCAGAAAGAUAUUUUGUAAUUUGAUAAGCCAGCUCAAGACACAGUAUAAGAAAAAAACAAGAAAAACUCGGCAACAAAAUCGAAAAAAAUCGACACAAAAAUCAAAACGAAACCUCAGUUAUAUACGAAAUGUAAAGAAAUAAGAAAUCCCCGGUUCGUUCAUCUAUCAUCUAACUAUCAGCUAACCAAAACUCGGACUCUGCUGGGCGGUUGCUCAACUUUUCGCAGGUCCACUGGGCGCAAGUAUUGUGGCCAUGAGUCCCAGGACAAUGCUGGAUCUCAAUCCUGCCCUGG
Molecule: unclassified non-coding RNA, 2647 nt
Filed under: Drosophila erecta
Lineage: Eukaryota; Metazoa; Arthropoda; Insecta; Diptera; Drosophilidae
Description: GG24961
Rfam family: Potassium channel RNA editing signal (bases 1179-1292)
Source: RNAcentral